Molecule: ribosomal RNA, 669 nt
Filed under: Marinobacter salarius
Lineage: Bacteria; Pseudomonadati; Pseudomonadota; Gammaproteobacteria; Pseudomonadales; Marinobacteraceae
Description: bacterial SSU rRNA
Rfam family: Bacterial small subunit ribosomal RNA
Source: RNAcentral
UCCCCGCUGACGAGCGGCGGACGGGUGAGUAAUGCAUAGGAAACUGCCCAGUAGUGGGGGAUAGCCCGGGGAAACCCGGAUUAAUACCGCAUACGCCCUUCGGGGGAAAGCAGGGGAUCUUCGGACCUUGCGCUAUUGGAUGUGCCUAUGUCGGAUUAGCUAGUUGGUGGGGUAAGAGCCUACCAAGGCGACGAUCCGUAGCUGGUCUGAGAGGAUGAUCAGCCACAUCGGGACUGAGACACGGCCCGAACUCCUACGGGAGGCAGCAGUGGGGAAUAUUGGACAAUGGGGGCAACCCUGAUCCAGCCAUGCCGCGUGUGUGAAGAAGGCUUUCGGGUUGUAAAGCACUUUCAGUGAGGAGGAAAACCUUAAGUUUAAUACGCUUGAGGCUUGACGUUACUCACAGAAGAAGCACCGGCUAACUCCGUGCCAGCAGCCGCGGUAAUACGGAGGGUGCAAGCGUUAAUCGGAAUUACUGGGCGUAAAGCGCGCGUAGGUGGUUUGAUAAGCGAGAUGUGAAAGCCCCGGGCUCAACCUGGGAACGGCAUUUCGAACUGUCAGGCUAGAGUAUGGUAGAGGAGUGUGGAAUUUCCUGUGUAGCGGUGAAAUGCGUAGAUAUAGGAAGGAACACCAGUGGCGAAGGCGGCACUCUGGACCAAUACUGACACU